UACGAAGGGGGCUAGCGUUGUUCGGAAUUACUGGGCGUAAAGCGCGCGCAGGCGGCUAUCCAAGUCAGUGGUGAAAGCCCGGAGCUCAACUCCGGAACUGCCAUUGAAACUGUUUAGCUUGAGGACGAGAGAGGUGAGUGGAAUUCCCAGUGUAGAGGUGAAAUUCGUAGAUAUUGGGAAGAACACCGGUGGCGAAGGCGGCUCACUGGUCCAUUACUGACGCUGAGGUGCGAAAGCGUGGGGAGCAAACAGG
This 253-nucleotide ribosomal RNA is filed under the name uncultured bacterium. RNAcentral describes it as "partial 16S ribosomal RNA". It matches the Rfam family "Bacterial small subunit ribosomal RNA", at positions 524 to 776 of the family's 1533-position model. The record is from RNAcentral.